GGCCAGGAGGACAGACAUGCCUCCCCACAUUUUUGCCCCCAGCAGGCUGAGGAGUUUCUUUAUCCUUCAGAGACCUCCUCUCAGGUGGAAUAUAUGUUCUCAACUCCCCAACUUGGGCUUUUCCCAUGUGACUCUGAGUAACAUCCCAGAGGGAAGUGACGACAUGACAUUUUCAGAAAGAUGAGUCAUUAGCCAUUCUGUUUCCACUCACCUCCUGCCGAUGCCAUCUGACACGAGAACACUCUUGCUGUUCCCAGGAGAAUGAAACAAAUCUGGGGAACAACCCUGAGCUUGAGCUGCACCCAGCAUCCAGGCCACCUUUAUCCCAGAGUUGACUGGUCUUCACUGGUUUCCAGACUCAUGACUGAGAAGAUCUCAUGCUUGCUGUGCAUCCUAUCCUGGUUUGCCAAGACCCGUGAAGGAGGAGAGUCCAGACACCUAACUAUUGCUGCUGCCCCAGCUUCUCUCAAGGGUAGGGGUUGCAGGAGGUAUGGGAAAACAGAGCACCAGCUGUUCCAUCUGACCCCGCUUCCGUUUCGUCAGUCUCCUCCCCUCCCCAUACCCAUACACUAGUACUUGUGGCCCACAGCUCUGCCCCUGCUUCCCUGCUGCACCUGGAACCAAACUCCAGGUCACUGAGCUGAAGAAGCUGGGGCCUGUAGAGUGAAGGUCAGGGGCGUGGGCUCAGGUCCAGUCUCUCGCUCUUCUCUGUGUCCCCGAUCAGAUGGCGGAAGCCCUGUAGGAAUCACAGAGCGCUGAGGACGAGCUUUUCCUAGUCCUGGCAAAGUGAGCCGAGCGGCCAAGCACCAGAGGUUUAGAGUUCUAAAUCAUUUAGAAGCCGGAGACUUUCGGCACUCUGUGUGGAGACUUGACUUUAACAUCAGUGGCCCAGCACCCUGCAGUUUCCAGCACCCUCCGCUUCUAGCGGUAGCACCAACAGACUGCAGCAGGCAGCAGCCGAUGGGAGGCGCCUUCGAGGGUUACAGCCCCCGCACAGGCGUCAGGCACCGGGACCCUUACUCACGCAGCAGCCAGUGGCCCGGGUGUCGUGUUUAGGACGCUGGACCAUUAGCCCUCCACCGUGGCUUCUGUGACAGGUCUCUGGAAACUUGGCCCUUGAGGCGUGGCAGCUCUCCGGGACUCUUGAGCUUUCUCUCCUGAUCUGUUGCUGCUAUCUCCACUGCUGCCGGCUUCACCAUCUUCUGUUAUCAGCCGAGUCUACUCUAGCGUGGGAGGAGGCAAGAAGGCCUAGGGAGAUGGCUCAGUCUGCAAAGAGCAUACAUCUGCACAGGUAUGCACAUAUGUACACACACACACACAGUAAACAAACACACUGUACACACAGAAACUAUGCACACACAUCUGUGCGCACACACAUACACCUUCAUAUACUUUCUAUCUGGCCUGUUAUUACAUUCCCAAGAGGUGGCACAGUAGAGCAUCUCCUACCUGCUCUUCACUAAGGGGGCCGGACGCCAUGCUUACACAGCCAGGUGGGUUUGCACCAAUCACAGGCGACUCUCAAUCGGAUCACGGACUACGCUUGGACCAGUUAUAGCCCUUCUACUGGGCUCCCAAGAGAGAGCUCCUCUUCUGGUCUGGGUGGGAAAGGCAAGGUCAUUGAGAGCUUACCAGAGCUUUUGAUGGCAAUGAGUCCAGAGCAAGCCGUCAGAAGCAGUCAUAGGCAGGGCAGCCCCUCCAGGAGCCAGAGGGCAGCAGCAGCAAGUGGCUGCAGUUGUUGCGUAGCUGUGUGACUUCCUCAAGUCCUUGGAGUGUCCGAGUGUCUGGUGCCAGCCUGAGGGCAGUCCACCCCACUGCUUGGAUGGCAGUUCUAAGGAGGCAGGCAGGGCCCUUGGGAAAGAUGCACUUCCUGUCAGCUGGAGAGUCAAGCCACUUAAUAAUCUCAGCACUCAGGGUAGAGAGGCAGGGGCAGGUAGUGAGUUCACAGCCAGCGUGGUCUACAUGGAGAGUUCUGGGCUAGCUGAGGCUGCCUGGAACAGACUCUGUCUCAAUAAUACAAAAGCCAAGCCACUCUGGCCCCAACAUCCUAGCUUUGUUUUGGUUUUUUUUUUUAAAGAAAAAAUCACAUUAAGAGGGAUGCUUACAAUAAAGACUUAUCAUUAAUGGGAAAAGCACUUCAGUUGUAAUUAUCAGUACUUUACAAUGCUUGGCUUCUGCCCCAGGGAGAGCUGGGCCCUCCUAAUCCAUCUGUGCCUUUGUUGGGACCCUGAUAGGAAUGCUACCAUUUUACAAUAAAAAUUAAACGUGUGAAACUCACAAUAUUUAAAUGUGUUUGACCUCAGAAGUGGCCAUUCUGUCACUGUCUUCUUCUCUCCUCCACCUCUUCCUCCUCCUCCUCCUCCUCCUCUUCUUCUUCUUCUUCUUUGUCUUCAUCUUUUUUUCUGAAACCUGGUUUCAUUGUGUAGCCCUGGCUGUUCUGGAACUCACUGUGUAGACCAGGCUGGCCUCCAACUCACAGAGA
Molecule: long non-coding RNA, 2482 nt
Organism: Meriones unguiculatus (Mongolian gerbil)
Lineage: Eukaryota; Metazoa; Chordata; Mammalia; Rodentia; Muridae
Exons: 3
Source: RefSeq, a predicted model, not a curated record